AGCAGCCGCGGUAAUUCCAGCUCCAAUAGCGUAUAUUAAAGUUGUUGCAGUUAAAAAGCUCGUAGUUGAAUUUCGGGGUUCUACCGUUGGUCGGGCUUUGUCUGUACUGGCGUGUAGAAUUUCUACCUUCUGGGGAACUAUCAUGUUAUUAAUUUAACGUGGUGGGAAACCAGGACCUUUACCUUGAAAAAAUUAGAGUGUUUAAAGCAGGCUGACGCUUGAAUACAUUAGCAUGGAAUAAUGAAAUAGGACGUUCGAUCUUAUUUUGUUGGUUUCUAGGAUUGACGUAAUGAUUAAUAGGGAUAGUUGGGGGCAUUAGUAUUCAAUUGUCAGAGGUGAAAUUCUUGGAUUUAU
RNAcentral lists this ribosomal RNA (354 nucleotides) under uncultured Racocetraceae. Its description in RNAcentral is "SSU rRNA". It matches the Rfam family "Eukaryotic small subunit ribosomal RNA", at positions 569 to 929 of the family's 1831-position model. The record is from RNAcentral. Lineage: Eukaryota; Fungi; Glomeromycota; Glomeromycetes; Diversisporales; Gigasporaceae.